RNAcentral lists this ribosomal RNA (465 nucleotides) under uncultured bacterium. Its description in RNAcentral is "partial 16S ribosomal RNA". It matches the Rfam family "Bacterial small subunit ribosomal RNA", at positions 28 to 507 of the family's 1533-position model. The record is from RNAcentral.
GACGAACGCUGGCGGCGUGCUUAACACAUGCAAGUCGAACGGAAAGGCCCCUUUGGGGGUACUCGAGUGGCGAACGGGUGAGUAACACGUGAGUAACCUGCCCUUGACUUCGGGAUAACUUCAGGAAACUGGGGCUAAUACCGGCUAGGAAUCCUUGCUGCAUGGUGGGGGUUGGAAAGCUUCGGCGGUUUUGGAUGGACUCGCGGCUUAUCAGCUUGUUGGUGGGGUAGUGGCUUACCAAGGCUUUGACGGGUAGCCGGCCUGAGAGGGCGACCGGCCACAUUGGGACUGAGAUACGGCCCAGACUCCGACGGGAGGCAGCAGUGGGGAAGAUUGCACAAGGGGCGGAAGCCUGAUGCAGCAACGCCGCGGGCGGGAUGACGGCCUUCGGGUUGUAAACCGCUUUCAGCAGGGGCGAAGCUUGUGGUGACGGUACCUGCAGAAGAAGCACCGGCUAACUACGUG